UACAGAGGGUGCAAACGUUGCUCGGAAUUAUUGGGCGUAAAGGGCUCGUAGGCGGUUUGUCGCGUCGGGAGUGAAAACCUUGGGCUUAACUCAGGGCUUGCUUUCGAUACGGGCAGACUAGAGGUAUGCAGGGGAGAACGGAAUUCCUGGUGUAGCGGUGAAAUGCGCAGAUAUCAGGAGGAACACCGGUGGCGAAGGCGGUUCUCUGGGCAUGAUCUGACGCUGAGGAGCGAAAGUGUGGGGAGCGAACAGG
RNAcentral lists this ribosomal RNA (253 nucleotides) under uncultured bacterium. RNAcentral's name for it is "partial 16S ribosomal RNA". It matches the Rfam family "Bacterial small subunit ribosomal RNA", at positions 524 to 776 of the family's 1533-position model. The record is from RNAcentral.